RNAcentral lists this small RNA (766 nucleotides) under Pan troglodytes (chimpanzee). RNAcentral's name for it is "processed transcript". The record is from RNAcentral. Lineage: Eukaryota; Metazoa; Chordata; Mammalia; Primates; Hominidae.
AUCUAGCGCGCCAGGCCGAACCGCAGCUUCUUGGCUUAGGUACUUCUACUCACAGCGGCCGAUUCCGAGGCCAACUCCAGCAAUGGCUUUUGCAAAUCUGCGGAAAGUGCUCAUCAGUGACAGCCUGGACCCUUGCUGCCGGAAGAUCUUGCAAGAUGGAGGGCUGCAGGUGGUGGAAAAGCAGAACCUUAGCAAAGAGGAGCUGAUAGCCGAGCUGCAGGACUGUGAAGGCCUUAUUGUUCGCUCUGCCACCAAGGUGACCGCUGAUGUCAUCAACGCAGCUGAGAAACUCCAGGUGGUGGGCAGGGCUGGCACAGGUGUGGACAAUGUGGAUCUGGAGGCCGCAACAAGGAAGGGCAUCUUGGUUAUGAACACCCCCAAUGGGAACAGCCUCAGUGCCGCAGAACUCACUUGUGGGAUGAUCAUGUGCCUGGCCAGGCAGAUUCCCCAGGCGACGGCUUCGAUGAAGGACGGCAAAUGGGAGCGGAAGAAGUUCAUGGGAACAGAGCUGAAUGGAAAGACCCUGGGAAUUCUUGGCCUGGGCAGGAUUGGGAGAGAGGUAGCUACCCGGAUGCAGUCCUUUGGGAUGAAGGCUUCCUUCUCCGUGGCACCACUACACAUCAAUAUUCCUGGCAAUAUUCUUCAUCAUGGAGACUUUGGCAGUGACUUCAACCAGAUGAAAAGCCCCACCUCAUUCCUGAAUGAUUGAGGUGCUAGACUAUAGGAUAUGACCCCAUCAUUUCCCCAGAGGUCUCGGCCUCCUUUG